AUUAAAUAGCUGCAGUAUAUUAACUGUACAAAGGUAGCAUAAUCAAUAGUUUUUUAAUUAAAAGCUGGAAUGAAUGAUUUGAUAAGGUAAAUAUUGUCUCAAUUUUAAAAUAAUUAGAAUUUUUUUUUUAGUAAAAAUACUAAAAUGAAUUUAAAAGACGAGAAGACCCUAUAGAUUUUUAUAUUUAUUUGAGUAAUUUAAUAAAAUUAAUUAUUUAAAUUAUUAAAAUAAAUAUUUGAUUGGGGAAAUUAUUAAAUUUAAAAAAUUUUAAUUAAAAAAAAACAAUAGUUAUUGAAAUUUUGAUCUUAAUUUUUAAAAUAUAAAAUUAAAUUACCUUAGGGAUAACAGCGUAAUUUUUUUAGAGAGAUCUUAUUGAUAAAAAAGUUUGCGACCUCGAUGUUGAAUUAAGAUAAAAUUUUAAUGAARAAGUUAAAAAUUUUUGGUCUGUUC
RNAcentral lists this ribosomal RNA (450 nucleotides) under Ischnus celaya. Its description in RNAcentral is "partial 16S large subunit ribosomal RNA". The record is from RNAcentral. Lineage: Eukaryota; Metazoa; Arthropoda; Insecta; Hymenoptera; Ichneumonidae.